This 251-nucleotide ribosomal RNA is filed under the name uncultured bacterium. RNAcentral's name for it is "partial 16S ribosomal RNA". It matches the Rfam family "Bacterial small subunit ribosomal RNA", at positions 57 to 305 of the family's 1533-position model. The record is from RNAcentral.
GCAAGUCGAACGAGUGACAGCAGAGCUUGCUUUGCUGAAGCUAGUGGCGGACGGGUGAGUAAUGCGUAGGGAUCUGCCCUUUUGUGGGGGACAACCUGGGGAAACUCAGGCUAAUACCGCAUAAUAUCUUCGGAUUAAAGGAUGGGACCUUUUAGGCCAUUCGCAAAAGGAGGAACCUACGUCGGAUUAGCUUGUUGGUAGGGUAAAGGCCUACCAAGGCGACGAUCCGUAGCUGGUCUGAGAGGACGAGC